AAAUUUGAAUAAUGUUCCUUCCAUCAUUCUGUGUUUCAAAAGGAUCAUUUUCAAUCUGAGUCAAAAUGAUCGUAAACCCAUUGAUAAAGGAGAGCAUUGGCGGCAAACAUCAGCUCGUUCUCUCGCUCAAUCUGUUCAGCUGCAACUUGCAGAGGUCUUAGUGACUGUCGCAUACGCCGAAUACCCUUUUUUUUCCUUGCCAAUCUCACUCUCAUAGCCCUCGGGCGAUGACCCUAUUUGGACAAGCAAUUUUUAAAACUAUAAAAGUUCAAUUUCAGCUGCAAAGCCGAACAACCUUUUGCCCCCCGUGUGGCCAUCCUCCAUCUCAGCCACCAUUCCAAUCUCUCAAUCCCAAUUUUUCCUUCAAGGCCCUAACAACCCAAAUCCAACCAAAUUUUCCUCCCCAACAAAACCCAAAUAUUUCUUCUUCCAAAACCCCGAUAAUUUCUUUCCCCAAGACCCUAACAUACAACUACAACAGGUACUCAAUAGAACCGACAGCAGCCACAGGCAACCUCAGAACCAGAUAGACACCACCGCCUCUGACCAAGUCCCGAAGGGGGUUCGGGAAAGAACCGACCAGGCCGUGAAGCAGGCCUGAAGCGAGCAUAUUGCGUCCGGAAAGGGUGUUACGGCGUGGAACGUUUCGCAGGCAGCCCUUGUGGCGCUGCAGGCUGAUUUAUGGAGCUCGUUGGGAUUGGAUAUGCAGGGGAUUCCAUCUCUUCAAAAGCUUAUAACCAUUGAAGGAAGGGGAUGUAUCAUGAUUUUUUCACAAAUCGGUGAGUAUUGCUCAUAAAUUACAACCUCUAAAGACUAAUGUCUUGGUUGUUGGUUCAAAGGCGCACCGUUGAUAAUUAUGACCUGCAUAGCCUAGGAAUCAAUUACACUUUCAAAAUUUCCUCUUUUGGCAUUAAAAGGUAAAGUUUUUUAUGUAACAUAGUUGAAAUGUUUGUUUUCUAUGCACUCUCCAUAUGAUACGCUGUAAUUUGGUUAUAUAUGAUGUGGUUGGCUUUCUUUUCACCUUUUGUAUGAUGUCCUAUAAUUUGGUUAUAAGGCUUUUUUGGGUAUCAACAUCAUGCAUGUGAACACAUUACCUUAUGAAGUCAACUUUUGACUGCCUAAUUGCAUCUGCUUUUAGAGUUAGUCAAAUGAUCUGAUUUGUUAGUAUAAUACUUACUGAUUGGGAGUAAGUGUUGGAAUUUUAAUUGAAACAUGUGCAUAGAGGAGGAGGGAGGGAGGGGGAGAAUCUUUGUCUACCUAUUUACAUUACUUUCUUUUAAACACUUCCACACGUGCUCUUAGAUAGUAGAACAGAAAGAGACUUAGGUACAGAAGUUGUUAUUUACCUAAGUGCUAAAUUGCAGCAGAAUUUAGUAAAAGCUCCUUGCCUUCUUUCAGUUAUCUUCUUUCUAGCUUUUGGUAACUUGAAGAUCAUGUGCGUAUGACAUAGCAUUGUUUACUUUCAAUUGUAUAUUAAAGCAUACUUCUGUUUUUACCUUUUCCUGGUAAAAAUGUUUCUUGCUACAGUUGAGGCAUUUACCUAAGUGCUAAGUUGCUGCUGGAUUUACUGAAAGCUCCUUUGACCCCUUCAGUUGAGGCACCUUUAUUGAGACACUCUCCUUUAGUGCCUAGGGUGUGCACCUGGAAAGCGAGUAGGCACAAAAAUGCUCAAGUGGUAAGGGUAGGAUGGGUUUUGUAGGAAUCUUAGAUUGAGCCUUAACAGUCUUCAAUGUACCAAAAACGGUAUGCCUCAAUUAAGUGACCCCAUUUUUUUUAAUUGUAUGAGCUGUAUUUUCAAUAUACAUAAAAGGUCUUUGAAUGUGUUUUAACGAGAACAAGGAAAGAUAAUGUUGUCCAUAUGUAACUUCUUCUUGGAGGUAUAAGUGUAGGGACCUUAUAGCUAGAGUUUAAUUUGAUGGUGACUUUUAGUUAAUUAUGAUAAUGCUUUUAGCUUUAUGAUAUAUUAGGGCUAGGAAUUGAGCCAAGUUUCUAAAUGCAUAUACUUCGGGUUUUUCAUCUUUGGUGCCUUGAUGUUGAUACUGCUUGUAUCUAUUGUGAUAUAUUCACUUGGGUGAGUGCCUUGUUUAUGUCUGGUCUUAGUUGGUACAACAGUCCUAGCACCUUCAGUGUGCCAAUGACUGCAUUGACUUUUCAAGUUUGUUUUAUGGAUUCCUAUCUGCUAGCAUCUUUAUUGUGACAAGUUAUUAUGGGAUCUAGGAUAUGAUAAAACUUUCUUUUUCAAUAUUACAGGUGACACCUAUCAGAUAUUGUACAAGUAGAAAGAAUUAAAAGAACAAAUUACAAGGAAGAGAAGGGGUAAGAGCCUGCAAGUUGCAGCUCAACAGAUGGAGCGAGAGAACGAGCUGAUGUUUGCAGCGAAUGACCUCCUUUAUCAAUGGGUUUACGAUAUUGUAUAGAAAAUUAUUCAGAUUUUCUAAGCUUUACCUUGCUUAUAAAAAUCCAAAUUGUGGGA
Non-coding RNA from Theobroma cacao (cacao), 2473 nucleotides. The record is from RefSeq and is a predicted model, not a curated record. Lineage: Eukaryota; Viridiplantae; Streptophyta; Magnoliopsida; Malvales; Malvaceae.